CAUACCAUUUGAAAAAGUAGACAACCCAAUGUAUUACAAAUGGGUAUGACCAGUCUUUUUUAGUAGCCACUUAGUCACAAACACUGGCCAAAGUUUGAAUUUAUAUUUGUUUGUGUGUGAAAAUUUCAAAAAACGAAUAUGAACGCUAACUUUGGCUAGUGUUUGUGACUAAGUGGCUACUAGAAAAAACUGGACAUACUCUAUUUACAAUACCUUGGGUUGUCUACUUUUGCAAAUGGUAUG
Pelobates cultripes (western spadefoot toad) is the source of this 243-nucleotide non-coding RNA. The record is from the annotation of a GenBank genome assembly. NCBI's taxonomy places the organism in Eukaryota, Metazoa, Chordata, Amphibia, Anura, Pelobatidae.